GAUGAAGAACGUAGUGAAAUGCGAUAAGUAAUGCGAAUUGCAGAAUUCAGUGAAUCAUCGAAUCUUUGAACGCACAUUGCGCCCGCCAGUAUUCUGGCGGGCAUGCCUGUCUGAGCGUCGUUUCGACCCUCGCGCCCGGCUUCUGUCGGGGGCGGUGUUGGGGAUCGGCCACACCCUUCAGUGGGAGGCCGGCCCCUAAAUUCAGUGGCGACCACGCUGUAGCCUCCCCUGCGUAGUACUAAAACCACCUCGCAGGCGGAGAGCGGUGCGGCCCGCCGUAAAACCCCCCAACUUUUACAAGGUCGACCUCAGAUCAGGUAGGAAUACCCGCUGAACUUAAGCAUAUCAAUAAGCGGAGGA
This 360-nucleotide unclassified non-coding RNA is filed under the name soil metagenome. RNAcentral's name for it is "partial contains 5.8S ribosomal RNA, internal transcribed spacer 2, and large subunit ribosomal RNA". The stretch from base 1 to 120 matches the Rfam family "5.8S ribosomal RNA", at positions 35 to 154 of the family's 154-position model. The record is from RNAcentral.